Ziziphus jujuba (common jujube) is the source of this 381-nucleotide long non-coding RNA. RefSeq lists it as uncharacterized. The transcript is spliced from 2 exons. The record is from RefSeq and is a predicted model, not a curated record. Lineage: Eukaryota; Viridiplantae; Streptophyta; Magnoliopsida; Rosales; Rhamnaceae.
UUUUUUUGGCCUAUAUAUAAUGGGAAAACAAAAGGAGAGAAAUCAUAUGUAAGAUUGUUUUUGUAGAAGACAUGGGUAUCUCUUAUCCUUUUCGUUGUCUAAUGUUAAUUCUCCUCAUCACUUUCCAUCAUCAUUUGGUUUAUGCAGAUUUAAAGAUAAGGAAACUUGGAGAUCAUCCCACGACACCUGCACCUCCAUCUCCGGAAAAAAACGGUCAAAUCAAUAAUAAUCCUUAAUAGUAGAGUCGUCAAUUUAUUUGUAAGUUUACUUUAAAGGUAAAAUCAUCAAAAAUAUAUGUUCAAAUUUGAAGUUUGAAUUUAGAUGAAAACCCUCAUGUAUGUUAGUAAUAAAUAAUAAUAAUAAUACUAGAGUUAUUAUCUA